RNAcentral lists this unclassified non-coding RNA (286 nucleotides) under plant metagenome. Its description in RNAcentral is "partial contains small subunit ribosomal RNA, internal transcribed spacer 1, and 5.8S ribosomal RNA". The stretch from base 1 to 55 matches the Rfam family "Eukaryotic small subunit ribosomal RNA", at positions 1778 to 1831 of the family's 1831-position model. The record is from RNAcentral.
GGAAGUAAAAAGUCGUAACAAGGUUUCCGUAGGUGAACCUGCGGAAGGAUCAUUAUUGUAUAACCGAGGUGCGAGGGCUGUCGCUGACCCGAAAGGUCGUGCACGCCCGAGUGCCCUCACACACAUCCAUCUCACCCCUAUGUGCACCACCGCGUGGGUCCCCCUUUGGCUUGUUCGGAGGGGGGCUUACGUUUUCACACAAACUUCGUAUGCAGUGUAGAAUGUAUUUUUUGUUUUUGCGAUCACGCAAUCAAUACAACUUUCAACAACGGAUCUCUUGGCUCUC